This 253-nucleotide ribosomal RNA is filed under the name uncultured bacterium. RNAcentral's name for it is "partial 16S ribosomal RNA". It matches the Rfam family "Bacterial small subunit ribosomal RNA", at positions 524 to 776 of the family's 1533-position model. The record is from RNAcentral.
UACAGAGGGGGCAAGCGUUGUUCGGAAUUACUGGGCGUAAAGGGCGCGUAGGCGGCCGCCUAAGUCAGACGUGAAAUCCCUCGGCUCAACCGGGGAACUGCGUCUGAUACUGGGUGGCUUGAAUUCGGGAGAGGGAUGCGGAAUUCCAGGUGUAGCGGUGAAAUGCGUAGAUAUCAGGAGGAACACCGGUGGUGUAGACGGCUCACUGGACCGUAACUGACGCUGAGACACGAAAGCGUGGGUAGCAAACAGG